GUGCUUGUUUCUGUAGCACAUCUACUAAAANUGGAANAGUNCAGAGAAGAUUAGAAUUGUCCCUGCAUAAGGAUGACAUACAAAUCCAUGAAGCAUUCCAUAUUUUU
Molecule: small nuclear RNA, 107 nt
Filed under: Neotoma lepida (desert woodrat)
Lineage: Eukaryota; Metazoa; Chordata; Mammalia; Rodentia; Cricetidae
Source: RNAcentral